RNAcentral lists this ribosomal RNA (466 nucleotides) under uncultured bacterium. RNAcentral describes it as "bacterial SSU rRNA". It matches the Rfam family "Bacterial small subunit ribosomal RNA", at positions 28 to 521 of the family's 1533-position model. The record is from RNAcentral.
GAUGAACGCUGGCGGCGUGCCUAAUACAUGCAAGUUGUGCGGUAACAGAGAGAGCUUGCUCUCUGCUGACGAGCGGCGGACGGCAGAGUAACGCGUAGGAACAUACCCCAAACUGAGGGAUAACUGCUCGAAAGAGUAGCUAAUACCGCAUGUGGUCUUCGGAUUAAAGCUUCGGCGGUUUGGGAGUGGCCUGCGUCCGAUUAGCUAGUUGGUGAGGUAAUUGCUCACCAAGGCGACGAUCGGUAGCUGGUCUGAGAGGAUGAUCAGCCUGACUGGAACUGAGAACGGUCCAGACUCCUACGGGAGGCAGCAGUAGGGAAUUUUCCACAAUGGGCGAAAGCCUGAUGGAGCAACGCCGCGUGCAGGAUGAAUGCCUUCGGUUGUAAACUGCUUUUCUGUGUGAAGAAUAAUGACGGUAAACACAAGGAAUAAAGGGUCGGGACUAACUACGUGCAGCAGCCGCGGU